Molecule: long non-coding RNA, 433 nt
Filed under: Populus trichocarpa (black cottonwood)
Lineage: Eukaryota; Viridiplantae; Streptophyta; Magnoliopsida; Malpighiales; Salicaceae
Description: long non-coding RNA (PTRI_LNC004787)
Source: RNAcentral
AUGAACAAUAAUUAAAUUAGAAAUAAUCUAUAAAAAAGACUCACGCAACAAGAAAAAUCAAAUCAGCAAUGAUUUGAGAAGUCAUCAUUUGAAGAAAACCAAUAAAACUCAAGAAUUAACACAACAAACACAUAGCCAUGGAGCGACCAAACCGUAUACCUUAAAUAAACCAAUCAAACUAGUUCUAAAAUUGUCCUCCCAGUAUUCCUUCGCAAAAUAUUCAACAACCAACCUUGUAUCUCCUUCACAAGCUCCCCUAAAGUAUCACGCAACGGCAUGGCUCAAGACUUUUAAUAUCCAUAAUAAUAUGUAAAAAUUUAUAAAAUGGUCUAUAUAUAUAUAAGAGAAUCAAGAUAGCACACGAUGGCUGAGGUCAAGUGUGAAAGAAGGAGGACUCACGCCGCCAAAAAAUAAGAUGGGUUAAAGGGGCCGG